CAAUAACGUAUGUUUAAGUUGCUGCAGUUGAAAAGUUCGUAGUCGGUGUUUUGGCAACUAGCCCAGAUCUCAAUUGAGUAUCUGCAGCGAAGGCCAUUAUUUGGGAUCGUACGGCUUUGGCAUUAAGUUGUUGAGGUCGCUACACCCAUCGUUUACUGUGAAAAAAUUAGAGUGUUUCAAGCAGUUCUUAUGGACUGAAUAGAUUAGCAUGGGAUAAUAAUAGACGGCUCUCGAGUCAGUUUGUUGGUUUGUAUUCGAGAACAAUGAUUAAUAGGGACAGUUGGGGGUAUUCAUAUUUUAACGUCAGAGGUGAAAUUCUUGGAUCGUUAAAAGAUGAUCUAAGGCGAAAGCAUUUACCAAGGAUGUUUUCAUUAA
Molecule: ribosomal RNA, 375 nt
Filed under: uncultured eukaryote
Lineage: Eukaryota
Description: partial 18S ribosomal RNA
Rfam family: Eukaryotic small subunit ribosomal RNA
Source: RNAcentral